Molecule: ribosomal RNA, 497 nt
Filed under: uncultured bacterium
Lineage: Bacteria
Description: partial 16S ribosomal RNA
Rfam family: Bacterial small subunit ribosomal RNA
Source: RNAcentral
GAUGAACGCUGGCGGCGUGCCUAAUACACGCCAGUCGAGCGAACAGAUGAGGAGCUUGCUCCUCUGACGUUAGCGGCGGACGGGUGAGUAACACGUGGAUAACCUACCUAUAAGACUGGGAUAACUUCGGGAAACCGGAGCUAAUACCGGAUAAUAUAUUGAACCGCAUGGUUCAAUAGUGAAAGACGGUUUUGCUGUCACUUAUAGAUGGAUCCGCGCCGCAUUAGCUAGUUGGUAAGGUAACGGCUUACCAAGGCGACGAUGCGUAGCCGACCUGAGAGGGUGAUCGGCCACACUGGAACUGAGACACGGUCCAGACUCCUACGGGAGGCAGCAGUAGGGAAUCUUCCGCAAUGGGCGAAAGCUUGACGGAGCAACGCCGCGUGAGUGAUGAAGGUCUUCGGAUCGUAAAACUCUGUUAUUAGGGAAGAACAAAUGUGUAAGUAACUAUGCACGUCUUGACGGUACCUAAUCAGAAAGCCACGGCUAACUACGUG